GGGCCCGCACAAGCGGUGGAGCAUGUGGUUUAAUUCGAUGCAACGCGAAGAACCUUACCAGGGUUUGACAUAGUACGAAGUUUUUUGAAAAAAACCACCUUCGGGAACGUACAUACAGGUGGUGCAUGGCUGUCGUCAGCUCGUGUCGUGAGAUGUUGGGUUAAGUCCCGCAACGAGCGUAACCCUUGUUUUUAGUUGCCUUUCGAGGAUAUUUAGAAAGACUGCCGAUUAUAAAUCGGAGGAAGGUAAGGACGACGUCAAGUCAUCAUGCCCCUUACACUCUGGGCUACACACGUGCUACAAUGGUAGUGACAAUGGGUUAAUCCCAAAAAGCUAUCUCA
RNAcentral lists this ribosomal RNA (341 nucleotides) under uncultured bacterium. Its description in RNAcentral is "partial 16S ribosomal RNA". It matches the Rfam family "Bacterial small subunit ribosomal RNA", at positions 917 to 1290 of the family's 1533-position model. The record is from RNAcentral.